UUUUUAGUGUAAGUAUGUCCUAUGCAAUAUUUGGGACAUAAUUUUGCUUAAA
This 52-nucleotide microRNA precursor is filed under the name Ailuropoda melanoleuca (giant panda). Its description in RNAcentral is "mir-1302 microRNA precursor family". It matches the Rfam family "mir-1302 microRNA precursor family". Lineage: Eukaryota; Metazoa; Chordata; Mammalia; Carnivora; Ursidae. The record is from Rfam by way of RNAcentral.